This 70-nucleotide transfer RNA is filed under the name Ictidomys tridecemlineatus (thirteen-lined ground squirrel). Its description in RNAcentral is "Spermophilus tridecemlineatus (thirteen-lined ground squirrel) tRNA". It matches the Rfam family "tRNA". Rfam says of the family: Transfer RNA (tRNA) molecules are approximately 80 nucleotides in length. The record is from Rfam by way of RNAcentral. Lineage: Eukaryota; Metazoa; Chordata; Mammalia; Rodentia; Sciuridae.
GGAGUCGUGGCUCAGUGGUAGAGCGCUUGCUUUAGCAUGUAUGAGACUCUGGGUUCGAUUCUCAGCACCA